GGAAGAAACGUUGGCGGCUGUGCUUAACACAUGCAAGUCGAACGGAAAGGCCCUGCUUUUGUGGGGUGCUCGAGUGGCGAACGGGUGAGUAACACGUGAGUAACCUGCCCUUGACUUUGGGAUAACUUCAGGAAACUGGGGCUAAUACCGGAUAGGAGCUCCUGCUGCAUGGUGGGGGUUGGAAAGUUUCGGCGGUUGGGGAUGGACUCGCGGCUUAUCAGCUUGUUGGUGGGGUAGUGGCUUACCAAGGCUUUGACGGGUAGCCGGCCUGAGAGGGUGACCGGCCACAUUGGGACUGAGAUACGGCCCAGACUCCUACGGGAGGCAGCAGUGGGGAAUAUUGCACAAUGGGCGGAAGCCUGAUGCAGCAACGCCGCGUGCGGGAUGACGGCCUUCGGGUUGUAAACCGCUUUCGCCUGUGACGAAGCGUGAGUGACGGUAAUGGGUAAAGAAGCACCGGCUAACUACGUGCCAGCAGCCGCGGUGAUACGUAGGGUGCGAGCGUUGUCCGGAUUUAUUGGGCGUAAAGGGCUCGUAGGUGGUUGAUCGCGUCGGAAGUGUAAUCUUGGGGCUUAACCCUGAGCGUGCUUUCGAUACGGGUUGACUUGAGGAAGGUAGGGGAGAAUGGAAUUCCUGGUGGAGCGGUGGAAUGCGCAGAUAUCAGGAGGAACACCAGUGGCGAAGGCGGUUCUCUGGGCCUUUCCUGACGCUGAGGAGCGAAAGCGUGGGGAGCGAACAGGCUUAGAUACCCUGGUAGUCCACGCUGUAAACGGUGGGUACUAGGUGUGGGGUCCAUUCCACGGGUUCCGUGCCGUAGCUAACGCUUUAAGUACCCCGCCUGGGGAGUACGGCCGCAAGGCUAAAACUCAAAGGAAUUGACGGGGCCCCGCACAAGCGGCGGAGCAUGCGGAUUAAUUCGAUGCAACGCGUAGAACCUUACCUGGGUUUGACAUGGAUCGGGAGUGCUCAGAGAUGGGUGUGCCUCUUUUGGGGUCGGUUCACAGGUGGUGCAUGGCUGUCGUCAGCUCGUGUCGUGAGAUGUUGGGUUAAGUCCCGCAGCGAGCGCAACCCUUGUUCACUGUUGCCAGCACGUUAUGGUGGGGACUCAGUGGAGACCGCCGGGGUCAACUCGGAGGAAGGUGGGGAUGACGUCAAGUCAUCAUGCCCCUUAUGUCCAGGGCUUCACGCAUGCUACAAUGGCUGGUACAGAGAGUGGCGAGCCUGUGAGGGUGAGCGAAUCUCGGAAAGCCGGUCUCAGUUCGGAUUGGGGUCUGCAACUCGACCUCAUGAAGUCGGAGUCGCUAGUAAUCGCAGAUCAGCAACGCUGCGGUGAAUACGUUCCCGGGGCU
RNAcentral lists this ribosomal RNA (1349 nucleotides) under uncultured bacterium. RNAcentral describes it as "bacterial SSU rRNA". It matches the Rfam family "Bacterial small subunit ribosomal RNA", at positions 26 to 1381 of the family's 1533-position model. The record is from RNAcentral.